CGCUGACGAGUGGCGGACGGGUGAGUAAUGUCUGGGAAACUGCCUGAUGGAGGGGGAUAACUACUGGAAACGGUAGCUAAUACCGCAUAACGUCGCAAGACCAAAGAGGGGGACCUUCGGGCCUCUUGCCAUCGGAUGUGCCCAGAUGGGAUUAGCUAGUAUGUGGGGUAACGGCUCACCUAGGCGACGAUCCCUAGCUGGUCUGAGAGGAUGACCAGCCACACUGGAACUGAGACACGGUCCAGACUCCUACGGGAGGCAGCAGUGGGGAAUAUUGCACAAUGGGCGCAAGCCUGAUGCAGCCAUGCCGCGUGUAUGAAGAAGGCCUUCGGGUUGUAAAGUACUUUCAGCGGGGAGGAAGGCGACAGGGUUAAUAACCCUGUCGAUUGACGUUACCCGCAGAAGAAGCACCGGCUAACUCCGUGCCAGCAGCCGCGGUAAUACGGAGGGUGCAAGCGUUAAUCGGAAUUACUGGGCGUAAAGCGCACGCAGGCGGUCUGUCAAGUCGGAUGUGAAAUCCCGGGCUCAACUGGGAACUGCAUUCGAAAUGGCAGGCUAGAGUCUGUAGAGGGGGGUAGAAUUCCAGGUGUAGCGGUGAAAUGCGUAGAGAUCGAGGAAUACCGGUGGAAGGCGGCCCUGGACAAAGACUGACGCUCAGGUGCGAAAGCG
Molecule: ribosomal RNA, 669 nt
Filed under: uncultured Enterobacterales bacterium
Lineage: Bacteria; Pseudomonadati; Pseudomonadota; Gammaproteobacteria; Enterobacterales
Description: bacterial SSU rRNA
Rfam family: Bacterial small subunit ribosomal RNA
Source: RNAcentral